This 264-nucleotide ribosomal RNA is filed under the name uncultured bacterium. RNAcentral describes it as "partial 16S ribosomal RNA". It matches the Rfam family "Bacterial small subunit ribosomal RNA", at positions 793 to 1055 of the family's 1533-position model. The record is from RNAcentral.
GUCCACGCCAUAAACGAUGAAUACUAGCCGCUUGGCGCAUAAAAGUGCUGGGUGGCGUAGCUAACGCGAUAAGUAUUCCGCCUGGGGAGUACGGCCGCAAGGUUAAAACUCAAAGGAAUUGACGGGGGCCCGCACAAGCGGUGGAGCAUGUGGUUUAAUUCGAUGCAACGCGAAGAACCUUACCUACUCUUGACAUCCUUGGAAUCUCGCAGAGAUGUGAGAGUGCCGAAAGGAACCAAGUGACAGGUGCUGCAUGGCUGUCGU